This 1585-nucleotide long non-coding RNA is filed under the name Cairina moschata (Muscovy duck). Its description in RNAcentral is "domestica (muscovy Duck (domestic type)) lncRNA (ENSCMMG00000016804.1)". Lineage: Eukaryota; Metazoa; Chordata; Aves; Anseriformes; Anatidae. The record is from RNAcentral.
AAUGACUGUUCUUUUAUCUUUUAAGUAAUUUGCAAUUACAUUUGUAGUUUAUUGUUGAAAUGAGCUAUGAUCUUUUCACCAUGGACGAACAGGUGGCUCCUAGCUGAAGUAAAGGUGAAAUGUACCUGUGUGUAAACACACCUGAGAUACUUCUUCCUUAAAGAGCAAUCAUAUGUAUGGGUCAGAAGCAAACUAAAGAUCAAACUUUAUUGAACAAGUAGCUAAGCAAAGAGUUGAUCUAAGUUUUUCUUCCUAAUCCUUUUAUAUAUAUAUAUAUAUAUAUAUAUAUAUAUAAAAUGAUUACUUUUAUUCAUCAGUGCUUCAUUAUCAGAAUCCUCAAAAUGUUUUCAGCCUGGUGAAUGUUUUCAGUAACAUGCAAUGUACAAACUGUUAGAAUUAACAUCUGUUCAAUUGAAGUGAGCCCAAGUGUGGAAUUUGAGCCCAAAUCUGGGGUUUUGUGACCGCUGGCUUGCUAAAACAUCCUCUCCAUCGGCCACCGCAACACGUGGCAGAAUUGUUCAGCUUGGGGCUUCCCACAGACCAAAUGCAUUUCUAGUGUAACGUGACUGGCUCCAACACUUCACUCCAGAAAUAACAUCGUUGAACUGUGAUCUCAUCUGCUUAUUUUGAUAAUUCACAUUAUCUUACUGUAAUGGUUUCAUAUCUAAAAGAAUUUGCAUUUUGCUCUCCUAAGGAAAAAGGUAAGAUUAAAUGUCAACUAAGCAUGAUGUGAACGAGCAGUACCUGGAAGGUGACUUUGGAAACGAAAAAAAUUAUUGGACUUAAGUCACUUUUUUUUCCAUGAUGGAGACUGAGCAGAACAGCAAUAUUUUCACCACGUCCUUGCUGCAAGUUUUGAGUAAAAAUGGGAGGAAAACCAAAAAUUGAUGCUCUGAGGGGAAUUCUGACGGCUCUCCAAACCUCUGCCUUCUAUCAGGUUUCGAAACGGACAUUUUGGUGGAGAAAUGGCGAGGAUUUAACACCAUUUCCUUGCCAGGCGCUGAGGAAAUUCCCGGCGGGGCCCGACAGCCGCUGUGCCCGGGGCCGCUCCCGCCGUGACUCAGCGCCCGCCCUGAGGCGCGGCGCCGAGGGCCGGGGUCUCGCUGCGCGGGCUCUGCCCCCGGGCGUCGCCUCAGAGCCGAGCGGGGCGCGGCCGCUCCCCACCCCCCUCCACACCCCGGUUUCGUCCCGGAGCGGUGCCGCUGCCUCCCUCCGCCCGCUACCGGGCGGCGCCUCAGGCCGGGGGGGACCGCCAGGCGAGGCGAGGCGAGGCGGGAGGGAGGCUGGGCGCCGGGCCUCCCCCGGGAGCGGCGCCUCGGCCCGGCCCGGCCCCGGCCGAGCCCGCCCCUCUCCCAGUCUCCUCCGCGGCUCCCCCUCCCCGAGCCGGGCGGGGCCGCAGCUCGCAGCGCCGCCGCUCCUUGUGCCGCCUCUCCCCGCUGACCAAGGGCACCGCCGGGACCCUCUCCGGCCGCCCCCCCCCGUCCCCGCCGCCGCCUCAGCCGCAGCCGGCGCUGCCCGCGGAGCCGCCAUGAGCUGGGGCACGGAGCUGUGGUGUGAAAGAUUUUCUGUUUGUGUUCUUGGAUGA